RNAcentral lists this ribosomal RNA (468 nucleotides) under uncultured bacterium. RNAcentral's name for it is "partial 16S ribosomal RNA". It matches the Rfam family "Bacterial small subunit ribosomal RNA", at positions 28 to 507 of the family's 1533-position model. The record is from RNAcentral.
GACGAACGCUGGCGGCGUGCUUAACACAUGCAAGUCGAACGGAAAGGCCCUGGUUUUGUGGGGUGCUCGAGUGGCGAACGGGUGAGUAACACGUGAGUAACCUGCCCUUGACUUGGGGAUAACUUCAGGAAACUGGGGCUAAUACCGGAUAGGAGCUCCUGCUGCAUGGUGGGGGUUGGAAAGUUUCGGCGGUUGGGGUUGGACUUGCGGCUAAUCAGUUUGUUGGUGGGGUAGUGGCUUACCAAGGCUUUGAUGGGUAGCCGGCCUGAGAGGGUGACCGGCCACAUUGGGACUGAGAUACGGCCCAGACUCCUACGGGAGGCAGCAGUGGGGAAUAUUGCACAAUGGGCGGAAGCCUGAUGCAGCAACGCCGCGUGCGGGAUGACGGCCUUCGGGUUGUAAACCGCUUUCGCCUGUGACGAAGCGUGAGUGACGGUAAUGGGUAAAGAAGCACCGGCUAACUACGUG